This 252-nucleotide ribosomal RNA is filed under the name uncultured bacterium. Its description in RNAcentral is "partial 16S ribosomal RNA". It matches the Rfam family "Bacterial small subunit ribosomal RNA", at positions 57 to 305 of the family's 1533-position model. The record is from RNAcentral.
GCAAGUCGAGCGGAAACGAGAAGUAGCUUGCUACUUCGGCGUCGAGCGGCGGACGGGUGAGUAAUGCCUAGGAAAUUGCCCUGAUGCGGGGGAUAACCAUAGGAAACGAUGGCUAAUACCGCAUAACGCCUUCGGGCCAAAGAGGGGGACCUUCGGGCCUCUCGCGUCAGGAUAUGCCUAGGUGGGAUUAGCUAGUUGGUGAGGUAAUGGCUCACCAAGGCGACGAUCCCUAGCUGGUCUGAGAGGAUGAUC